Molecule: RNA transcript, 3307 nt
Organism: Cercocebus atys (sooty mangabey)
Lineage: Eukaryota; Metazoa; Chordata; Mammalia; Primates; Cercopithecidae
Gene name: nucleosome assembly protein 1-like 4 pseudogene
Exons: 1
Source: RefSeq, a predicted model, not a curated record
GGUCAGUGACCUGAAAGUGGUUUAUUAAAAUAUAAAAGAAAAGAUGAAAAUAGUAAAUAUUAUUAUUCAGAAUAAUAUAAUUGUAAAUAGUGAACAGGAUUCCAGGGCAAAUAGAGAAUAUGGGUCUCUAGGGCUGGGAUAAGGUGAGUCUAUGAAUGAAAUUUUUCUGAACAAGCAGCUGAAACAAGUAAGGGAAAUUAGCAAAUACAAGAAAUAUAAGAAACUUGGAUUUUAACUGGUGAGCCACUCUAAGUCUCCCGUUUAUUGUCUUUUCCGAACCCUUUCAAAGAAUAACUUAAAGCCAUUAAAGUUAUGUUAUUUUCAGACAAUGCAGAGUAACUUUUGGGAAAGACAUUUUUCAAGAAGAAAAAGUGGACGUCCUCGUCAGGGCGGGCAGCGGCAGCCGCAACUGCGGGCCUGGGGCUUGGGGCCUGGAGCCUGGGGCAGGGGCGAGGGUGGGCGGUCCCUCCCAGCACCCGGCGCGGCCCGCCCUGCCGCCCACCGUCCUGAAGGCCAAGGCGCUUUGUUCUGCAUUGCGGGCGGCUUCCAUGGCGGCGGCCCAGCGGAGGAGGAGUAGACUGCAGUGAGCCCGCUAGCUUGGCCAGCCCCGUGUACCCCGUGGCCCUAGCGGCAUGCCGGGAGGAGCGUUCAGGCUUCUGGUUUUUUAGUUGGAGACGUCCAGGACCUCUUUAUUAGAUGUUUAGGAAUUUCAGUUUUUCCGUAGGGCAGUGGUCAUCGUGAGCCUCUGUGGGGUCAGGCUGGGCUAACUGGGGUUUCGAUUGUAAGUUUCCUGUGGCCGAGGGCAUGUCUGACUGGGAAGAAAGUCCUUGGCAUGACUUCUUAGCUGUUGGGAGCUGUGCGGUGCGAGCGAGAUGGGCGGCGUGCACUCCCCGAGGACAGGCCUGAGUGGCCUUAGCCUAGUUACUCACGGGACUUGGUUUACCAGACAAGGGGAUAAAAACAUUCAGAUGGCAGAUAACAGUUUUUCAGAUGGGGUUCCUUCAGAUUCCGUGGAAGCUGCUAAAAAUGCAAGUAAUUCGGAAAAGCUCAUGGAUCAGGUGAUGCAGAAUCCUGGAGUUGUGGCAGCUUUACAGGAGCGACUUGACAAUGCCCCUCACACCCCUUCCAGCUACAUGGAAACUUUACCUAAAGCAGUAAAAAGAAGAAUUAAUGCAUUGAAACAAAUUCAGGUGAGAUGCGCUCAUAUAGAAGCCAAGUUCUAUGAAGAAGUUCAUGACUUGGGAAGAAAGUACACAGCAUUAUACCAGCCUCUCUUUAUCAAGAGAAAAGAACUUAUCACCGGUGAUGUUGAACCAACAUCUGAUAUGGAAUCAGAAUGGCACAGUGAAAAUGAAGAGGAGGAGAAAUUGGCUGGAGACGUGAAAAAAAUAAAGUAGUCAUAACAGAAAAAGCAGCAGCAACAGCUGAAGAGCCAAAUCCCGAAGGAAUUCCAGAGUUCUGGUUUACCAUCUUUAGAAUUAGUCCAGGAGUAUGAUGAACCAAUCUUGAAACACCUGCAGGAUAUUAAAGUGAAGUUUUCUGACCCUGGACAGCCUAUGUCCUUUAUAUUAGAGUUCCACUUUGAACCCAACUACUACUUUACCAACUCAGUCCUGAGGAAAACCUGCAAGAUGAAAUCAGAACCAGAUAAGGCUGAUCCCUUUUCAUUUGCAGGUCCUGAGAUCAUGGAUUGUGAGGGGUGUGUACUAUUGACUGGAAGAAAGGAAAGAAUGUUACUGUCAAAACCAUCAAGAAAAAGCAAAAGCAGAAGGGUCGAGGCACUGUUAGAACAAUUACUAAACAAGUAUCCAGUGAGUCAUUUUUCAACUUAUUCAAUCCACUGAAAGCGUCUGGGGAUAGAGAAUCACUGGAUAAAGAUUCUGAAUUCGUAUUAGCCUCUGGUUUGGAAAUUGGACUCUUUUUCCGUGAGCGGAUAGUCUAAAUUGGACACUUUUUCCAUGGGCUGUGCUAUACUUCGCUGGGGAGGCCUUAGAGGACGAUGACAAUUUUGACGAAGGUGAAGAAGAAGAGGAGGAAUUAGAAGGUGACGAGGAGGGAGAAGAUGAGGAUGAUGUGGAAAUUAACCCCAACAAGGAACCCAGCCAGCUGGCGGAAUGCAAGCAGCAGUACGAAGUGGAGGUGGGCGCCUGGCAGACCGGCUGUCGGGACUCCAAGCUUGUGGGGGACGCCUCAGUCUUCGCCGCAUGCGGCACAAUCCCGUCGACAGCGCUUACUCCAUCUAGAUCGUUUUCCAGUGCAUGAUUUUCACUUUCACUUUUCUUUUUUCCUUAUUGUUUUGCUUAACUUGUACAGUGGCAACUGAAAUGCAUUUCAGAAAUAGGAGGUUUCGUCCAGUACCAUCUGCAGCCUUGGUGCCUGUAGCUCUGGACUUGCCUGGGCCUUUCCCUGGGGGAGGGCUCCAUAGACCACGUUGGGGUGGGGUGGGGUGGGGUGGGGGUCACUUGGUAAAAAGGGCCGAGGUCUGGUGAUGAGGUUCCAGGGAUCUAGAACCUCUCCUACCGCUCCUGCAGUUGGACUGAAUUCUUCCCUUUCAUGUGAAGAAACCCACUCGCUGUUUCCAGCAGCUUAAUCUGCCGAGUGUGCAGCCUGCAUCACCUGCUGUAUGCUAAUCAUCUCAGAAGGACUGUGUAGAGUAGGGCCCGGUUCUCCUUAGGAUAUUGCUUCUUGAUUUUCUUCUUUUAGGGUUGGGUCAGGGUUGUGGCACACCACCUCAGGCGAGAGCUGCCAUAGGUCACUUCAUAUUUGUUUAUCCCUUCUUGCCUGGGAGGACUGUGGCCUUUUGCUGUCGCUCGUCCUUGCCAUUUCUGAACCACCCUGGUGACCUGAGCAGGAAGAUGUGCCACUUCUUAGCAGGCGCAAGGGCUGUGCGGAAGAAACACUGCUUCCUGCCACCAGGGCUGAAGACACGAGCCUGUCCUCGUGACAUAGACACCGCCCUGCUGCCGGAGCCGGGAUUCGACGAUCUUCUCCAGUGAGGGGCUGGGCUGGGAAGUCCUGCGUUUCAUUUGAGCAUAUGAGCAUCAAGUCCUGCUUUCUCAGUAGCCCCCUUGCUGGGCCCUACCAUUCAUCCUGUCUGAAGGUCCCGGUUUGGUGUGACCGCUUGGUGGCUGGCAAGUGGGGUUUCCAAGUGGGUGACAGUGCUCUCCGGCAGCCUGGGAUGGCCGUGUCCGCACUGACCAGGCCUGUAGAGAGUGCUCAGCCUAACCUUAGAACACAUUUAUAGCUGAAUACAGUGUUUUCAAUUUGUACGUAAUAGUUAGAAUAUUCUAUUAAAGUUAUGAAACAU